Molecule: non-coding RNA, 148 nt
Organism: Sus scrofa (pig)
Lineage: Eukaryota; Metazoa; Chordata; Mammalia; Artiodactyla; Suidae
Source: Rfam
CGGAGAUGACGGAUUUACAUCCCAGACAGUGUCACUCGGGUCGAGGAGCAGCUGCUGUUGCAGAAUCUAGGCACGUAUUUCUUUCCCCUCCUUCCUUCUUCUCCUUCUUGGAGGCAGUCAGAAGAGAAGGUGGGAGGUGAUGGGGAAG